This 85-nucleotide transfer RNA is filed under the name Candidatus Pelagibacteraceae bacterium. RNAcentral's name for it is "tRNA-Ser". It matches the Rfam family "tRNA". Rfam says of the family: Transfer RNA (tRNA) molecules are approximately 80 nucleotides in length. Their secondary structure includes four short double-helical elements and three loops (D, anti-codon, and T loops). Further hydrogen bonds mediate the characteristic L-shaped molecular structure. tRNAs have two regions of fundamental functional importance: the anti-codon, which is responsible for specific mRNA codon recognition, and the 3' end, to which the tRNAs corresponding amino acid is attached (by aminoacyl-tRNA synthetases). tRNAs cope with the degeneracy of the genetic code in two manners: having more than one tRNA (with a specific anti-codon) for a particular amino acid; and 'wobble' base-pairing, i.e. permitting non-standard base-pairing at the 3rd anti-codon position. The record is from RNAcentral. Lineage: Bacteria; Pseudomonadati; Pseudomonadota; Alphaproteobacteria; Candidatus Pelagibacterales; Candidatus Pelagibacteraceae.
GACAGUUUGUCCGAGUGGUUAAGGAGAAUGACUAGAAAUCAUUUGUGAAUUUCACGCACAGGUUCGAGUCCUGUAACUGUCGCCA